GCAGUGGUGGUUCAGUGGCAGAAUUCUUGCUUUCUAUUCUGGAGUCCCAGAUUAGACCCCUGGCCAAUGCA
Molecule: transfer RNA, 71 nt
Filed under: Loxodonta africana (African savanna elephant)
Lineage: Eukaryota; Metazoa; Chordata; Mammalia; Proboscidea; Elephantidae
Rfam family: tRNA
About the family: Transfer RNA (tRNA) molecules are approximately 80 nucleotides in length. Their secondary structure includes four short double-helical elements and three loops (D, anti-codon, and T loops).
Source: Rfam by way of RNAcentral